Molecule: ribosomal RNA, 428 nt
Filed under: Leptodactylus notoaktites group sp. ABGD cluster 61
Lineage: Eukaryota; Metazoa; Chordata; Amphibia; Anura; Leptodactylidae
Description: partial large subunit ribosomal RNA
Rfam family: Bacterial large subunit ribosomal RNA
Source: RNAcentral
CUUGACAAACUUAUAAGAGGUCCAGCCUGCCCAGUGACUCUGUUUAACGGCCGCGGUAUCCUAACCGUGCGAAGGUAGCGUAAUCACUUGUUCUUUAAAUGAGGACUAGUAUGAAUGGCACCACGAAGGUUAUACUGUCUCCUUUUUCUAAUCAGUGAAACUAAUCUUCCCGUGAAGAAGCGGGAAUAAAAAUAUAAGACGAGAAGACCCUAUGGAGCUUUAAACAAAUAUACACCUGCCUUCCAAUUAAAAAAUUUCAGUAGACAAAUAAUUACCCAGGCAUUUUGAUAUAGCGUUUUAGGUUGGGGUGACCGCGGAGCAAAAAACAACCUCCGCAACGAACGGGAAAUCUUUCCCUAAACCAAGGGCCACGACCCCAAGUAUCGAUAAAUCGACACUAAUUGACCCAAUAAAUUUGAUCAAUGAAC